This 510-nucleotide ribosomal RNA is filed under the name uncultured bacterium. Its description in RNAcentral is "bacterial SSU rRNA". It matches the Rfam family "Bacterial small subunit ribosomal RNA", at positions 36 to 507 of the family's 1533-position model. The record is from RNAcentral.
CUGGCGGCGUGCCUAAUACAUGCAAGUCGAACGCACUCUCGUUUAGAUUGAAGGAGCUUGCUCCUGAUUGAUAAACAUUUGAGUGAGUGGCGGACGGGUGAGUAACACGUGGGUAACCUGCCCUAAAGUGGGGGAUAACAUUUGGAAACAGAUGCUAAUACCGCAUAAAACCUAACACCGCAUGGUGUAGGGUUGAAAGAUGGUUUCGGCUAUCACUUUAGGAUGGACCCGCGGUGCAUUAGUUAGUUGGUGAGGUAAAGGCUCACCAAGACCGUGAUGCAUAGCCGACCUGAGAGGUAAUCGGCCACACUGGGACUGAGACACGGCCCAGACUCCUACGGAGGCAGCAGUAGGGAAUCUUCCACAAUGGACGAAAGUCUGAUGGAGCAACGCCGCGUGAGUGAAGAAGGUUUUCGGAUCGUAAAACUCUGUUGUUGGAGAAGAAUGUAUCUGAUAGUAACUGAUCAGGUAGUGACGGUAUCCAACCAGAAAGCCACGGCUAACUACGUG